This 782-nucleotide ribosomal RNA is filed under the name uncultured bacterium. Its description in RNAcentral is "bacterial SSU rRNA". It matches the Rfam family "Bacterial small subunit ribosomal RNA", at positions 8 to 780 of the family's 1533-position model. The record is from RNAcentral.
AGAGUUUGAUCCUGGCUCAGAACGAACGCUGGCGGCGCGUCUUAAGCAUGCAAGUCGGGCGGCAAGGGGGAGCAAUCCCCCCUAGAGCGGCGGACUGGUGAGUAACGCGUGGGUGACCUACCCUUUGGUUGGGGAUAGCCGGUAGAAAUAUCGGGUAAUACCGAAUACGUUUGCAGGGUUUUGACUUUGCAAGGAAAGGAGCUUUUGCUCCGCCGAAGGAUGGGCCCGCGUCCCAUUAGGCAGUUGGUGAGGUAAAGGCCCACCAAACCUGUGAUGGGUAGCCGGCCUGAGAGGGUGAUCGGCCACAUUGGGACUGAGAUACGGCCCAAACUCCUACGGGAGGCAGCAGCUAAGAAUAUUCCGCAAUGGACGAAAGUCUGACGGAGCGACGCCGCGUGGAUGAUGAAGGCCGAAAGGUUGUAAAAUCCUUUUGCCACUGAAGAAUAAGUGUGGAGUGGAAUGCCCGCAUGAUGACGUUAGGUGGUGAAUAAGCCCCGGCUAAUUACGUGCCAGCAGCCGCGGUAACACGUAAGGGGCGAGCGUUGUUCGGAAUUAUUGGGCGUAAAGGGCGCGUAGGCGGUUUUGUAAGCCUGAUGUGAAAUCCCACAGCUUAACUGUGGGUCUGCAUUGGGAACUGCAUUACUAGAGUCAUGGAGGGGAAAUUGGAAUUCCUAGUGUACCGGUGAAAUGGGUAGAUAUUAGGAAGAACACCAAUGGCGAAGGCAAAUUUCUAGCCAAUGACUGACGCUGAGGCGCGAAAGUGCGGGGAGCAAACAGGAUUA